AAAAAAAAAUCCUUUUCUCAUGUUUUUUUAUUAGAGAAUCCUAAAACAGGUAAAGACAUUAACAUUGUUAUUAGCCUUUUUGUUAUGGAAAUGGAUGUUUUCCCUGAAAUAAUUAAUCAUUCAAAUGCCAAAAAACACAACAUUUAGACAGAAAAAGAGAUUUUUUUUUCUGUCAUUCAAAAUUUCAGAAGAAGGCAAGCCAGAUCAAGACUAUAUGUUUUCAUAAAGGAAUUUAAUUGCAUGUCAUAUAAUUCACUACAUUUCCUCCUUAAUGUUU
This 277-nucleotide long non-coding RNA is filed under the name Mytilus galloprovincialis (Mediterranean mussel). Lineage: Eukaryota; Metazoa; Mollusca; Bivalvia; Mytilida; Mytilidae. The record is from RNAcentral.